Molecule: transfer RNA, 71 nt
Filed under: Camelus bactrianus (Bactrian camel)
Lineage: Eukaryota; Metazoa; Chordata; Mammalia; Artiodactyla; Camelidae
Also listed under: 2 other names
Rfam family: tRNA
About the family: Transfer RNA (tRNA) molecules are approximately 80 nucleotides in length.
Source: Rfam by way of RNAcentral
AGUGGGUAGCUCAGUGGUAGAGUGUGUGCUUAGAAUGCACGAGGUCCUGAGUUCAAUACCCAGCACCUCUG